This 2926-nucleotide ribosomal RNA is filed under the name Enterobacteriaceae bacterium A-F18. RNAcentral describes it as "23S ribosomal RNA". It matches the Rfam family "Bacterial large subunit ribosomal RNA". The record is from RNAcentral. Lineage: Bacteria; Pseudomonadati; Pseudomonadota; Gammaproteobacteria; Enterobacterales; Enterobacteriaceae.
GGGUUGUGAGGUUAAGCGACUAAGCGUACACGGUGGAUGCCCUGGCAGUCAGAGGCGAUGAAGGACGUGCUAAUCUGCGAAAAGCGCCGGCGAGGUGAUAUGAACCUUUGACCCGGCGAUGUCCGAAUGGGGAAACCCAGUGUGAUCCGUCACACUAUCAUUAACUGAAUCCAUAGGUUAAUGAGGCGAACCGGGGGAACUGAAACAUCUAAGUACCCCGAGGAAAAGAAAUCAACCGAGAUUCCCCCAGUAGCGGCGAGCGAACGGGGAGCAGCCCAGAGCCUGAAUCAGCUUGUGUGUUAGUGGAAGCGUCUGGAAAGUCGCGCGAUACAGGGUGACAGCCCCGUACACGAAAGCACACAGGCUGUGAGCUCGAUGAGUAGGGCGGGACACGUGGUAUCCUGUCUGAAUAUGGGGGGACCAUCCUCCAAGGCUAAAUACUCCUGACUGACCGAUAGUGAACCAGUACCGUGAGGGAAAGGCGAAAAGAACCCCGGCGAGGGGAGUGAAAAAGAACCUGAAACCGUGUACGUACAAGCAGUGGGAGCCUCUUUAAUGGGGUGACUGCGUACCUUUUGUAUAAUGGGUCAGCGACUUAUAUUCUGUAGCAAGGUUAACCGAAUAGGGGAGCCGAAGGGAAACCGAGUCUUAACUGGGCGUUAAGUUGCAGGGUAUAGACCCGAAACCCGGUGAUCUAGCCAUGGGCAGGUUGAAGGUUGGGUAACACUAACUGGAGGACCGAACCGACUAAUGUUGAAAAAUUAGCGGAUGACUUGUGGCUGGGGGUGAAAGGCCAAUCAAACCGGGAGAUAGCUGGUUCUCCCCGAAAGCUAUUUAGGUAGCGCCUCGUGAAUUCAUCUCCGGGGGUAGAGCACUGUUUCGGCUAGGGGGCCAUCCCGGCUUACCAACCCGAUGCAAACUACGAAUACCGGAGAAUGUUAUCACGGGAGACACACGGCGGGUGCUAACGUCCGUCGUGAAGAGGGAAACAACCCAGACCGCCAGCUAAGGUCCCAAAGUCAUGGUUAAGUGGGAAACGAUGUGGGAAGGCACAGACAGCCAGGAUGUUGGCUUAGAAGCAGCCAUCAUUUAAAGAAAGCGUAAUAGCUCACUGGUCGAGUCGGCCUGCGCGGAAGAUGUAACGGGGCUAAACCAUGCACCGAAGCUGCGGCAGCGACACUUAAGUGUUGUUGGGUAGGGGAGCGUUCUGUAAGCCUGCGAAGGUGUGCUGUGAGGCAUGCUGGAGGUAUCAGAAGUGCGAAUGCUGACAUAAGUAACGAUAAAGCGGGUGAAAAGCCCGCUCGCCGGAAGACCAAGGGUUCCUGUCCAACGUUAAUCGGGGCAGGGUGAGUCGACCCCUAAGGCGAGGCCGAAAGGCGUAGUCGAUGGGAAACAGGUUAAUAUUCCUGUACUUGGUGUUACUGCGAAGGGGGGACGGAGAAGGCUAUGUUAGCCGGGCGACGGUUGUCCCGGUUUAAGCAUGUAGGCUGGUUAUCCAGGCAAAUCCGGAUAAUCAAGGCUGAGGUGUGAUGACGAGUCACUACGGUGAUGAAGUAACAAAUGCCCUGCUUCCAGGAAAAGCCUCUAAGCAUCAGGUAACACGAAAUCGUACCCCAAACCGACACAGGUGGUCAGGUAGAGAAUACCAAGGCGCUUGAGAGAACUCGGGUGAAGGAACUAGGCAAAAUGGUGCCGUAACUUCGGGAGAAGGCACGCUGAUAUGUAGGUGAAGCCCCUGCGGGCGGAGCUGAAAUCAGUCGAAGAUACCAGCUGGCUGCAACUGUUUAUUAAAAACACAGCACUGUGCAAACACGAAAGUGGACGUAUACGGUGUGACGCCUGCCCGGUGCCGGAAGGUUAAUUGAUGGGGUUAUCCGUAAGGAGAAGCUCUUGAUCGAAGCCCCGGUAAACGGCGGCCGUAACUAUAACGGUCCUAAGGUAGCGAAAUUCCUUGUCGGGUAAGUUCCGACCUGCACGAAUGGCGUAAUGAUGGCCAGGCUGUCUCCACCCGAGACUCAGUGAAAUUGAACUCGCUGUGAAGAUGCAGUGUACCCGCGGCAAGACGGAAAGACCCCGUGAACCUUUACUAUAGCUUGACACUGAACAUUGAGCCUUGAUGUGUAGGAUAGGUGGGAGGCUUUGAAGCGUGGACGCCAGUCUGCGUGGAGCCAACCUUGAAAUACCACCCUUUAAUGUUUGAUGUUCUAACGUGGACCCGUGAUCCGGGUUGCGGACAGUGUCUGGUGGGUAGUUUGACUGGGGCGGUCUCCUCCCAAAGAGUAACGGAGGAGCACGAAGGUUGGCUAAUCCUGGUCGGACAUCAGGAGGUUAGUGCAAUGGCAUAAGCCAGCUUGACUGCGAGCGUGACGGCGCGAGCAGGUGCGAAAGCAGGUCAUAGUGAUCCGGUGGUUCUGAAUGGAAGGGCCAUCGCUCAACGGAUAAAAGGUACUCCGGGGAUAACAGGCUGAUACCGCCCAAGAGUUCAUAUCGACGGCGGUGUUUGGCACCUCGAUGUCGGCUCAUCACAUCCUGGGGCUGAAGUAGGUCCCAAGGGUAUGGCUGUUCGCCAUUUAAAGUGGUACGCGAGCUGGGUUUAGAACGUCGUGAGACAGUUCGGUCCCUAUCUGCCGUGGGCGCUGGAGAAUUGAGGGGGGCUGCUCCUAGUACGAGAGGACCGGAGUGGACGCAUCACUGGUGUUCGGGUUGUCAUGCCAAUGGCACUGCCCGGUAGCUACAUGCGGAAGAGAUAAGUGCUGAAAGCAUCUAAGCACGAAACUUGCCCCGAGAUGAGUUCUCCCCUUGGACUUUAAGUCCACUAAAGGAACGUUGAAGACGACGACGUUGAUAGGCCGGGUGUGUAAGCGCAGCGAUGCGUUGAGCUAACCGGUACUAAUGAACCGUGAGGCUUAACCUUACAACGCCGAAG